UGCUCAGUUGGAGAAGUAAUUUACUGCAGGGUUUCAGAAUUGAAAGCUCUUUGCUUCAGCAUGAGCCCCUCAGCUCUCCGUGAAUUUUAAUCGAACUGUCAGCGUACAAGCGAAUGCUACUAUACAUAGAAAACAUUGCAACUGUGGCUCUGAAUAGAGAUUCUACCCCUACUACUGUGCGAGGUCAGACAUCACACUGCAGAACUCUAUACUAUACCUUGCUAAAGCACAGCAGGUUCUUUUUAAAACUACUAAUGGAUAAUCCCCUUGAUCUGAGGUCGUAAGAACCACUAUCAAGGUUUAUAUAGCAUUUGGAAGCAUUUACCCGUAAUUUGACCUGCUGGGUAGACUUAUGCUGGGGUUUCAUGUAUGAUACUAUAACAGCUAGCAUUGCAAGUGACCUUUUUCAACACUUAGGGCCAACACUUGGGUUGCAACUCUGCAUGCUUAUUUUGGAGCAAGACCUACAGGAGGUUAUUCAGAGUAAACAUGCCUGUUCCGCUUUUGAUUUGUGACUUCAAGUACAUAUUUGACAUUGAGCUUUAAUUCUUUCUGGUUGCCCCUGUGUUAGGUGCUUUGCUGAUCAAAUAAAAUAAAAAAUCAUUGGAACUAAUAUUUCCUUCUUCCCUCCAAUCUAAUCUCUCCCACCCCACCACAUUCUACCCUGUGUUAUUUUUUGAUGGUAUGGCACAAAAUGUCAGUAGUUGUGAGCCAUUGAGGUUUAAUGUAACUUCCACAUAAGGAAGCAGAAUGUCUCUGAAUAUUGGGUGCUGCGACGAGCAAGAUGGAAGCACAUUGACUUACCUACAAAUGUUGAAAAGCAGGCUGUGUAGGUGGCCAUGGUUGAAAACAAAAUAUUGCACAACUAUUCUGAUCUAGCAAUGCAAUUUUAAUUCUCCUUGUUGUUUCAGUUUUUAAAAAUAGUCUUAUCUUCCCUCUUGGUCCUAUCCUUUUUCCUGAUUCUUUCCAGAACGGCACAUGCACCUUGCUGGUUGGUUCUACAGUGUACAGCCAAAAGCUCUUGUGCUACUGGGACAAAGGGAGAGAUUUAUAAUAUGCCACCCCCCAGUACAAAUUUAUUUAUUAGACUGGUUCAAGUUUUGACCUCCACAUUGCAUGCCUCAGCAUGAAGCCAUGUUUAUAUGGAGUUGCAUUGAUCUCUGAGCAGCUUUGAUGUAAAGGCACACACUAGAGAGUCUCUGUCAGCAUUAAAAACCUUAUGACAAGCAAGUCAGUUCUUUAAGCUUGAAUUACUUGCAUUUCCUCAUGUUUAUUAACUUCGUUAAGGCUAACAGACCAAUUCAGUGCUUGUUGACCUCCCCUGAGAUUGAAGGGAGAUGGUUAAGAUUUGGGGCACAAGCUCAUGGCACAGAUUUGGCUCUGUUCAGUUUAAAAUGGUGGGUGAUUCUGUAAGCCCAGUGCCAAAAAAUUUGGGACUCAGACUCCUGUGCCACUUCUAACAAUGCCGUUGAUUCAAAACACAUACCGGGGCACUUUUCUCUCUGAUCCUAGGUAGCAGCCAGGAGGUGUUAGUGAUGUAGCCCAAACAAGUCAGUGAUGACACCAACAUUCUUUCUGCAGAAAGGAAGACUGGCCUGGAAAUGAGGAUGUCAAGUAUAAGACCAUUUCAACACGUUAUCUUUUUUUUAAAAAGAGAAGACAACAAAGAACAACAUUUUACUUAGCAAAGCAUAGGACUUGUAAUGCUUGUUCAAAUAACAUCAGGUGUUGUAAAUACUUAGGCUGUAUAACAGUGUCUGCUAUGCAUAAUUAAAUUUCUGUUAUAAAAAUAUAAAAGCCGCUUAGCACUGGCAGCAGAAUUAUCAGGCUUUACACUUGGAAUGGUAAUAAUUCCUUCUGAUGAGUACUUAUGCAUCUCCUGUCGUCUACUGUUAAUCAGUGUGUGUCGUACAUUUCCAAAGUAGACAUCCUAGGGUUCUUUUUCUUACUGGCAUUUUGGAUGUGUGUGUUUUGAAACAAGUCAUACAGAGAAAUAUGUUAACGGGGUUGUCAUUGCGUUCACGAGAUAUUUUUUUGCGCAGAGUAGUGCUUUCCUGGUGGUUUUAUUUUUUAGAAAUAAAAAGUUAAGCUAUAAA
Long non-coding RNA from Podarcis muralis (Common wall lizard), 2096 nucleotides. RefSeq lists it as uncharacterized. The record is from RefSeq and is a predicted model, not a curated record. NCBI's taxonomy places the organism in Eukaryota, Metazoa, Chordata, Lepidosauria, Squamata, Lacertidae.